This 274-nucleotide ribosomal RNA is filed under the name uncultured bacterium. Its description in RNAcentral is "partial 16S ribosomal RNA". It matches the Rfam family "Bacterial small subunit ribosomal RNA", at positions 523 to 796 of the family's 1533-position model. The record is from RNAcentral.
AUACAGAGGGUGCAAGCGUUAAUCGGAAUUACUGGGCGUAAAGCGCGCGUAGGCGGUUUUGUAAGUCGGAUGUGAAAGCCCCGGGCUUAACCUCGGAAUUGCAUUCGAAACUGCAUGGCUCGAGUCUGAUAGAGGGAAGUGGAAUUUCCGGUGUAGCGGUGAAAUGCGUAGAUAUCGGAAGGAACACCAGUGGCGAAGGCGGCUUCCUGGAUCAAGACUGACGCUAAGGUGCGAAAGCGUGGGGAGCAAACAGGAUUAGAAACCCCAGUAGUCC